This 636-nucleotide ribosomal RNA is filed under the name uncultured bacterium. Its description in RNAcentral is "bacterial SSU rRNA". It matches the Rfam family "Bacterial small subunit ribosomal RNA", at positions 607 to 1244 of the family's 1533-position model. The record is from RNAcentral.
GCUCAACCGUGGGGUGGCAUCAGAAACUGGCGGGCUUGAGUGCAGGAGAGGAGAGUGGAAUUCCCGGUGUAGCGGUGGAAUGCGUAGAGAUCGGGAGGAACACCAGUGGCGAAGGCGACUCUCUGGCCUGUAACUGACGCUGAGGCGCGAAAGCGUGGGGAGCGAACAGGAUUAGAUACCCUGGUAGUCCACGCCGUAAACGAUGAGUGCUAGGUGUUGGGGGUUUCCGCCCUCUGUGCCGAAGGUAACCCAAUAAGCACUCCGCCUGGGGAGUACGGCCGCAAGGCUGAAACUCAAAGGAAUUGACGGGGGCCCGCACAAGCGGUGGAGCAUGUGGUUUAAUUCGAAGCAACGCGAAGAACCUUACCAGGGCUUGACAUCCCGCUGACCGGUGUAGAGAUACACCUUCCCUUCGGGGCAGCGGUGACAGGUGGUGCAUGGUUGUCGUCAGCUCGUGUCGUGAGAUGUUGGGUUCAGUCCCGCAACGAGCGCAACCCUUGUCGUCAGUUGCCAGCACAUGAUGGUGGGCACUCUGGCGAGACAGCCGGUGAAAGCCGGAGGAAGGUGGGGAUGACGUCAAAUCAUCAUGCCCCUUAUGUCCUGGGCUACACACGUGCUACAAUGGCCGGUACAACG